UCUGGCAGUGAUGACACCCUUGCCCUCACUGAGAACAUUGUUCCAUAAUGAGAAUCUUGUUUGGACUCAAAUAAGCUGAGCUGGA
Molecule: small nucleolar RNA, 85 nt
Organism: Crotalus tigris (Tiger rattlesnake)
Lineage: Eukaryota; Metazoa; Chordata; Lepidosauria; Squamata; Viperidae
Product: small nucleolar RNA SNORD103/SNORD85
Exons: 1
Source: RefSeq, a predicted model, not a curated record